Non-coding RNA from Peromyscus maniculatus bairdii (prairie deer mouse), 414 nucleotides. The record is from RefSeq and is a predicted model, not a curated record. NCBI's taxonomy places the organism in Eukaryota, Metazoa, Chordata, Mammalia, Rodentia, Cricetidae.
GCUCCGCACACCUGAAGUGAAGGUCUUGUGACACCAGAAGAUGUUCCGGAUGUCAUCCAGCUUCUUCCAGGAGCCCUUGCGGUGUAGCAGACCACGAAUAUUCAUUCCCAAGGAUCUGAGGGACAGAAGUGCUCCCUACUGCAAGUGAUGUCUGAACCCUCUUGAGAGCAGUCUGCGCUGACUCCGUGUGCAUCUCUUCGGGAAUGUCCGCCCACUCUUUGUUUGUUCAUCGUGGAUUUGAAGUCUUACCACAUCCCUCACUGUUCACAAUUGCCUCCUUUCUAGAUAAUACUCUCCUUGAGGACAGAAGUCAUGUCCCACUCAUUGUUUGCCCUUCCAGUGUCUGGCGUGGCGCCUGGCAUCACGUUCAUAGCCUACACUGGAUGACUGCUGAAUAAAUACAUUUUAAUAAAG